Molecule: ribosomal RNA, 253 nt
Filed under: uncultured bacterium
Lineage: Bacteria
Description: partial 16S ribosomal RNA
Rfam family: Bacterial small subunit ribosomal RNA
Source: RNAcentral
UACGAAGGGUGCAAGCGUUAAUCGGAAUUACUGGGCGUAAAGCGUGCGCAGGCGGUUUUGUAAGUCAGAUGUGAAAUCCCCGGGCUUAACCUGGGAACUGCGUUUGAAACUACAAGGCUAGAGUGUGACAGAGGGGGGUGGAAUUCCACGUGUAGCAGUGAAAUGCGUAGAGAUGUGGAGGAACACCGAUGGCGAAGGCAGCCCCCUGGGUUAACACUGACGCUCAGGCACGAAAGCGUGGGGAGCAAACAGG